ACACCAGCACCUCAAGUGGUCAGGAUGAUUAUUGGGCCUAAAGCAUCCGUAGCCGGCUCUGUAAGUUUUCGGUUAAAUCUGUACGCUUAACGUACAGGCCGCCGGGAAUACUGCAGAGCUAGGGAGUGGGAGAGGUAGACGGUACUCGGGAGGAAGUGGUAAAAUGCUUUGAUCUCUCGAUGACCACCUGUGGCGAAGGCGGUCUACCAGAACACGUCCGACGGUGAGGGAUGAAAGCUGGGGGAGCAAACCGGAUUAGAAACCCGAGUAGUCC
RNAcentral lists this ribosomal RNA (274 nucleotides) under uncultured bacterium. RNAcentral describes it as "partial 16S ribosomal RNA". It matches the Rfam family "Archaeal small subunit ribosomal RNA", at positions 473 to 747 of the family's 1478-position model. The record is from RNAcentral.